RNAcentral lists this ribosomal RNA (576 nucleotides) under uncultured bacterium. RNAcentral's name for it is "partial 16S ribosomal RNA". It matches the Rfam family "Bacterial small subunit ribosomal RNA", at positions 355 to 925 of the family's 1533-position model. The record is from RNAcentral.
UGGGGAAUUUUGGACAAUGGGCGAAAGCCUGAUCCAGCAAUGCCGCGUGUGUGAAGAAGGCCUUCGGGUUGUAAAGCACUUUUGUCCGGAAAGAAAUCCUUGGCUCUAAUACAGUCGGGGGAUGACGGUACCGGAAGAAUAAGCACCGGCUAACUACGUGCCAGCAGCCGCGGUAAUACGUAGGGUGCAAGCGUUAAUCGGAAUUACUGGGCGUAAAGCGUGCGCAGGCGGUUUGCUAAGACCGAUGUGAAAUCCCCGGGCUCAACCUGGGAACUGCAUUGGUGACUGGCAGGCUAGAGUAUGGCAGAGGGGGGUAGAAUUCCACGUGUAGCAGUGAAAUGCGUAGAGAUGUGGAGGAAUACCGAUGGCGAAGGCAGCCCCCUGGGCAAGUACUGACGCUCAUGCACGAAAGCGUGGGGAGCAAACNGGAUUAAUACCCUGGUAGUCCACGCCCUAAANGAUGUCAACUAGUUGUUGGGGGAUUCAUUUCCUUAGUAACGUAGCUAACGCGUGAAGUUGACCGCCUGGGGAGUACGGUCGCAAGAUUAAAACUCAAAUAAUUGACGGGGUCAUGCU